RNAcentral lists this ribosomal RNA (468 nucleotides) under uncultured bacterium. RNAcentral describes it as "partial 16S ribosomal RNA". It matches the Rfam family "Bacterial small subunit ribosomal RNA", at positions 28 to 507 of the family's 1533-position model. The record is from RNAcentral.
GACGAACGCUGGCGGCGUGCUUAACACAUGCAAGUCGAACGGAAAGACCCUGCUUUUGUUGGGUGCUCGAUUGGCGAACGGGUGAGUAACACGUGAGUAACCUGCCCUUGACUUUGUGAUAACUUCAGGAAACUGCGGCUCAUACCCGGUAGGAUCUCCUGCUGCAUGGUGGGGGUUGGAAAGUUUCGGCGGUUGGGGAUCGACUCGAUGCUUAUCAGCUUGUUGGUGGGGUAGUGGCUUACCAAGGCUUUGACGGGUAGCCGGCCUGAGAGGGUGACCGGCCACAUUGGGACUGAGGUACGGCCCAGACGCCUACGGGAGGCAGCAGGCGGGAAGAUGGCACAAUGGGCGGAAGCCUGAGGCAGCAACGCCGGGUGCGGGAUGACGGCCUUCGGAGUGUAAACCGCUUUCGCCGGUGACGAAGCGUGAGUGACGGUAAUGGGUAAAGAAGCACCGGCUAACUACGUG